ACGGGACCUUUCGGGGUUUAGUGGCGGACGGGUGAGUAACGCGUGAGAACAUGCCCUUAGGUUCGGGACAACAGUUGGAAACGGCUGCUAAUACCGAAUGUGCCGAGAGGUGAAAGAUUAAUUGCCUAAGGAUUGGCUCGCGUCAGAUUAGCUAGUUGGUGGAGUAAUGGUUUACCAAGGCGACGAUCUGUAUUUGGUCUGAGAGGAUGACCAGACACACUGGGACUGAGACACGGCCCAGACUCCUACGGGAGGCAGCAGUGGGGAAUUUUCCGCAAUGGGCGAAAGCCUGACGGAGCAAUACCGCGUGAGGGAGGACGGCUUUUGGGUUGUAAACCUCUUUUAUCAGGGAAGAAACAAAUGACGGUACCUGAUGAAUCAGCAUCGGCUAACUCCGUGCCAGCAGCCGCGGUAAUACGGAGGAUGCAAGCGUUAUCCGGAAUUAUUGGGCGUAAAGCGUCCGUAGGUGGUUUUUCAAGUCUGCUGUCAAAGCGUGGAGCUUAACUCCAUAUCGGCAGUGGAAACUGGGAGACUAGAGUGCGAUAGGGGUAACGGGAAUUCCCAGUGUAGCGGUGAAAUGCGUAGAGAUUGGGAAGAACACCAGCGGCGAAAGCGCGUUACUGGGUCUGCACUGACACUGAGGGACGAAAGCUAGGGGAGCGA
RNAcentral lists this ribosomal RNA (663 nucleotides) under Oscillatoriales cyanobacterium Ep_Yyyy200. RNAcentral describes it as "bacterial SSU rRNA". It matches the Rfam family "Bacterial small subunit ribosomal RNA", at positions 66 to 771 of the family's 1533-position model. Lineage: Bacteria; Bacillati; Cyanobacteriota; Cyanophyceae; Oscillatoriales. The record is from RNAcentral.